UGCGCAGGCGGCUUAUUAAGUCAGUGGUGAAAUCUCUCGGCUCAACCGAGAAACUGCCAUUGAAACUGAUAAGCUUGAGUGUAGUUGUAGUAGGCGGGAUAUAGCAUGUAGCGGUGAAAUGCUUAGAUAUGCUAUAGAACACCGAUCGCGAAGGCAGCUUACUAAACUAUCACUGACGCUCAUGCACGAAAGCGUGGGGAGCAAACAGGAUUAGAUACCCUGGUAGUCC
RNAcentral lists this ribosomal RNA (229 nucleotides) under uncultured bacterium. Its description in RNAcentral is "partial 16S ribosomal RNA". It matches the Rfam family "Bacterial small subunit ribosomal RNA", at positions 568 to 796 of the family's 1533-position model. The record is from RNAcentral.